GGAUUAGGCAUGCAAGUCGAACGAGGAAGUGCCCCGUAAGGGGCGCAAGCCUAGUGGCGAAAGGGUGAGUAAUGCAUUGAUAACCUGCCUUUGAGAUGGGAAUAACUGCGUUUCGAGCAAUCGGAACUACCGAAAGGGCUGCUAAUACCCAAUAAUACUAUAGGUGCAAAAGCACUUGUGGUCAAAUGCUAGGAAUUCUGUUCCUUGUGCUUAAAGAGGGGUUAAUGUCCUAUCAGCUAGUUGGUGGGGUAAUGGCCUACCAAGGCAAAGACGGGUAGCCGGCUUGAGAGGGUGGUCGGCCACACUGGGACUGAGACACUGCCCAGACUCCUACGGGAGGCUGCAGUCGAGAAUCUUUCGCAAUGCCCGAAAGGGUGACGAAGCGACGCCGCGUGUGGGAAGAAGGCCUUCGGGUUGUAAACCACUGUCGGGAGUUAGGAAAUGCAGGUGCGUUAAUAGCGCACUUGCUUGACUAAGGCUCCAGAGGAAGCCACGGCUAACUCUGUGCCAGCAGCCGCGGUAAUACAGAGGCGGCAAGCGUUGUUCGGAAUUAUUGGGCGUAAAGAGCACGUAGGCGGCCGUGCAAGUCGGUUGUGAAAGCCUUCCGCUCAACGGAAGAAGGGCAUCCGAUACUGCAUAGCUUGAGUGCGGGAGGGGAGAGUGGAACUUCUGGUGGAGCGGUGAAAUGCGUAGAUAUCAGAAGGAACACCGGCGGCGAAGGCGACUCUCUGGUCCGUAACUGACGCUGAGUGUGCGAAAGCUAGGGGAGCAAACGGGAUUAGAUACCCCGGUAGUCCUAGCCGUAAACGAUGGGCACUAAGUAGAGGGGUUUU
RNAcentral lists this ribosomal RNA (833 nucleotides) under uncultured bacterium. RNAcentral describes it as "bacterial SSU rRNA". It matches the Rfam family "Bacterial small subunit ribosomal RNA", at positions 46 to 832 of the family's 1533-position model. The record is from RNAcentral.